UACGGGGGGGGCAAGCGUUGUUCGGAAUUACUGGGCGUAGAGGGCUCGUAGGCGGCCAACUAAGUCAGACGUGAAAUCCCUCGGCUUAACCGGGGAACUGCAUCUGAUACUGGAUGGCUUGAGUUCGGGAGAGGGAUGCGGAAUUCCAGGUGUAGCGGUGAAAUGCGUAGAUAUCAGGAGGAACACCGAUUGCGAAGGCAGCUCGCUGGGACGUAACUGACGCUGAGGAGCGAAAGCGUGGGGAGCAAACAGG
This 253-nucleotide ribosomal RNA is filed under the name uncultured bacterium. RNAcentral's name for it is "partial 16S ribosomal RNA". It matches the Rfam family "Bacterial small subunit ribosomal RNA", at positions 524 to 776 of the family's 1533-position model. The record is from RNAcentral.